GCUUGCUUGUUGGGGUUGUAGGACACUCUAUACGGAGUUACAAAGGACGACAUUAGACGAAUCAUCUGGAAAGAUGAAUCAAAGAAGGUAAUAAUCCUGUAGUCGAAAAUGUUGUCUCUCUUGAGUGGAUCCUGAGUACGACGGAGCACGUGAAAUUCCGUCGGAAUCUGGGAGGACCAUCUCCUAAGGCUAAAUACUCUCUAGUGACCGAUAGUGAACCAGUACCGUGAGGGAAAGGUGAAAAGCACCCCGGAAGGGGAGUGAAAUAGAACCUGAAACCGUGUGCUUACAAGUAGUCAGAGCCCGUUAAUGGGUGAUGGCGUGCCUUUUGUAGAAUGAACCGGCGAGUUACGAUUUGAUGCAAGGUUAAGCAGUAAAUGUGGAGCCGUAGCGAAAGCGAGUCUGAAUAGGGCGUUUAGUAUUUGGUCGUAGACCCGAAACCAGGUGAUCUACCCUUGGUCAGGUUGAAGUUCAGGUAACACUGAAUGGAGGACCGAACCGACUUACGUUGAAAAGUGAGCGGAUGAACUGAGGGUAGCGGAGAAAUUCCAAUCGAACCUGGAGAUAGCUGGUUCUCUCCGAAAUAGCUUUAGGGCUAGCCUCAAGUGAUGAUUAUUGGAGGUAGAGCACUGUUUGGACGAGGGGCCCCUCUCGGGUUACCGAAUUCAGACAAACUCCGAAUGCCAAUUAAUUUAACUUGGGAGUCAGAACAUGGGUGAUAAGGUCCGUGUUCGAAAGGGAAACAGCC
This 748-nucleotide ribosomal RNA is filed under the name Staphylococcus aureus. Its description in RNAcentral is "partial 23S ribosomal RNA". It matches the Rfam family "Bacterial large subunit ribosomal RNA", at positions 283 to 1027 of the family's 2925-position model. The record is from RNAcentral. Lineage: Bacteria; Bacillati; Bacillota; Bacilli; Caryophanales; Staphylococcaceae.